Molecule: unclassified non-coding RNA, 299 nt
Filed under: uncultured fungus
Lineage: Eukaryota; Fungi
Description: sequence contains ITS2
Rfam family: 5.8S ribosomal RNA (bases 1-52)
Source: RNAcentral
AACGCACCUUGCGCCCUUUGGUAUUCCGAAGGGCAUGCCUGUUUGAGUGUCUUGAAACCCUCAAAGCCUGAGGCUCUCUUUUGGGAGGGCUUCAAAGGCUUUGGAUUUUGGAUGUCUUGCUGGCCUGGCUUUCCAGCUCGUCCCAAAUGCAUUAGCUGACCUGUGACGGGUCCGCAUGACCUGGUGUGAUAAGUAUCACUCGCCUCGUCUGGACCGAGAAGGGUUGCUUCCAAUCGUCCUCCCCGGACAGCUUUUAAGUGUUUGACCUCAGAUCAGGUAGGACUACCCGCUGAACUUAA